RNAcentral lists this long non-coding RNA (11577 nucleotides) under Homo sapiens (human). Its description in RNAcentral is "long non-coding RNA NONHSAT198617.1". The record is from RNAcentral. Lineage: Eukaryota; Metazoa; Chordata; Mammalia; Primates; Hominidae.
UACGGUAUGCGUUUUACACUUGUAGCACAUCUCAAUUCAGAUUAGCCACAUUUCAAGUGUUGUAUGGCUACACACAAGUCAGCACACAUGGCCACAGCUACCUUAUUGGACGUUAAAGGCAUAGUCGUCUCCACAAGAAAAUGGUAACAGCAGUCACCUCUGGAGAGAAGAACCUCUCUGGAUACCUGGGUAAGAGGAAGAACUGCUCUUCAUUCUAUGCCUUUUUGAGCUUUUCAAAUUUCAUGCCUUGUGCAUUGCCUUUUCUGAAUAAAAUGAGUAAAACAGUUUUACAGCAAUUCUUUACAGUAACUUCUUAUUCACUCUGCCAUACAAAUAGGGACGGAUGAUUCAUACAAUGUGAGGACAAUUAUCAGCAACCAAUGACUCUUUCUUACUCCCUGGAGUCUUGUCAUUGCUUAGUAAUUUAAGGAAUCCGUCUCAGGGACAAGCAACAGUUUGCCACUGAGAGAAUGGAGUCAGGUUGGGGACACAUUCCCAAACUGGAAAUUCAUCAAAUUAGAAACAGGGUUUUGUAACUAAUUUAUAGCUGAGAAAAUGAAAUACGAAAGGAUCCUAGCUGGUGGGGAUCCUCUCACACAUCCCUACCAUGAGCUCAGAGAAGCCUCCAUGUCAGGACACAGCCGGAAACUGCAGGGGGCACGUGAAGGCAAAGACAGGAAGAAGAGGACAGGAAGGAGAGGUGAGGAAAGAGGAGGUUUCCAUAAACAGGAAACCACCAGGUGGCCUUUUCACCUCUUAAAUCUUGAGGGAGACAAGCGGAGAACCCCACUCCCAACCAAGAGAGAGGACCUACCGUUUCCCAAUCAGCGGAAUGUGGAAAUGCUCAACAGGACUGAAGUGAGGUUAAACUCUCUUCCUCUAAUUCUUCCCCGAGUGGCAAGAAUGCCCUAUUGGAUACAGCUGCUCCAAACAGUGCUGGAUCUCAGAUUUCUCCACCAUCACCCUUGGCUGACUAGGUCUGGGUAAGGUCUGGAUGUGUGGAGAAUGAGUGUAGCUCCCCUUCCUCCCUUCCUUCUGGCUUUGGUGGGCAGGAACCCUGUGGUCUGGUGCUAGUCUUUAGUGAGGCCGGAUGCCUCGACCUUGGAGCCCUUCCGUGGUCUUUGCUACCAUACAAAUAUCCCUGUCUCAACUUCCUGGCUUCAGGGGUCUUACAGAGGCCCAGUCUGUAUGUGUCCCAUUGACAUAGCUCCCUAGUCUCCUUAAGAAGGCCUGGGGCUUGCAGAAGGAAGUGAGCCAGGCUUGCUCACCUGACCACCUUCUGGGACCUACGCAAUAGUCUGGGCCUGUGGGCUUCUCUGGACUCCCUGUCACCCCAGCCUCAGCAUCUCCAGACACUGGGAACUCUAUUCCCCCAGAAGCCUACCACAACCACGUCUGAUUACAUCUGCAUACUACCACAUUUUUCCCGAGUCUGAUGCAUUGAGGGACUCUAAAGAGACUACAAUUUUCCCAGGCUGUGCCCAAGAAGUAGGGGCAAGGCCCCAGCCCUCAGACCCCCUGAGACUUCUCUGGCUGGUGGUGCGCAUCUCCUCUUCCAGAAGUUUCAACGCAGUGGGGGACAGGCCCAGGUGCCCGCUUCUCACCUCUCUCCCUCUCCUUUUCUCUUAACUACUUUUCUUCUUCCCAUAGCUCCUCAGAGAUGAAACAGGAUGGGAUAUUCAUUGACUAUUCAGUGUCAUAACGGCAGAGCAACAAGACUGGCAGAGGGAAGCCCUGGUCCCACGAAGGCACAAAUCAUUUCCUCAAAAAGAUUAACCAGAAACAGCACAUGAGCAAGUUUCAAAUCGUCACACCCAUUACAAUAAGGAAGACACAAUUUUCAUUUUUACAUUUUUUAUGACAGCUGUUGGCUCAGGCUAAUCAGAAACUAUCUUUAGAGAGGAGGUAUUUCCCAAGGUCACAUGUUUUAAUAUAAUUAGCGUGAGAUCAAAUGGAUGUUAAGGAGUUGGCAUCCAAAAUCUCCACCACACUACUGGCCUUGUGACCAAAAAAAUCCAAAUUCCAAAACACUUUUGGUCCGAACACUUUCAGAUAAGGGAUACUCAGCCCUUAGUGACUCAGGAAAUAACCCAUGAUAAUAAUAUUACUAUACUACUACUUACCAAUAACAAUGACAACAUAAACAGAAGAAGUCUUAAAUCAGAGGAUAACAGUAAUAGUAAUAGCCUAGUUUUUGUUUCUAGGCCAAGGAUUAUGGUUUAAAAUGGACAUAAGCAGUACCAUUAAGUGGUUUUAUUUCAUAGAAUCUCUAAAUGCAGUAGAAUCACAGGGCUGACAGAAGCCUUAGAGACCACUUCCCCAACUCCCCAUGCAACAUUCAUAUGUCCUGACAGCAGUAACAAGCUCUUCUCCAAACUCUGCUUGAAUAUCUCCACAGAAGAGAAGCUCACCACUCCCACAGGUGAUUUUUUUUCUUCUGAGUUCUGAUGGUUCUAAUUCUCUUCCUUACAUUACGUAUUACUUUCUCUCAUUAUAACUUUUUCCCAUUUAUUCAUUUUUUAAAAAGUUGUUCAUGACUAAUCAAACACAGCAGUUUGUAAAGCAUUACAAAGGUUUAUAAAGUAAAAAUUAAGGUUCCCCCACUACGUCCCACCAGAUUCUAUUCCCCAGAGGUGAUCAGAUUCUUUAUACAAUUAAUUUUUUGUUUUUUUGUUUUUUGUUUUUUGUUUUUUUGGGACAGAGUCUCGCUCUUUCGCCCAGGCUGGAGUGCAGUGGCGUAAUCUCGGCUCACUGCAACCUCCACCUCCUGGGUUCAAGUGAGCAUGUCCGGCUAAUUUUUGUAUUUUUAGUAGAGAUGGAGUUUCACCAUGUUGGCCAGGCUGGUCUCGAGCUCCUGACCUCAAGUGAUCCACCCACUUCGGCCUCUCAAAGUGCUGAGAUUACAGACAUGAGCCACCGCGCCCAGCCAGAUACUUUAUAUACUUCUGACAACAGGGCUUGUUUCCUUUAGUAUUGCAUUGUAGACAUAGUUCCAUAUCCUAGAUUGAUAGCUCUGAACGGACAGGCUACAAUUCAUCUAACACAUUCCCCAUAGGUAGGUCUCCAACUGGCCCCAGUUUGGCCUUUUAGUGUCACUUGGAAGAGUCUUAGUUUUUAAAACAUUUAAAGUCAGCUAUCAUGUCGUCACUGAACUUUCUCCAGGCCAAACAUCCUGCGUUCCUAACAUCAUUUCUCAUAUGAUGUGGUUCUAGAUUCCUCCAUAUAUGCUGCACUUUUUCUGGGUCCCCAGACUCCAACAGCAGGUUCCAAGGCAGCAGCUUUGGCCAUUGCAGAAUGAGAGAGGCCGUGCCUCAGUUUCUGCCGGAAGACCUAAGGGACUGCUCAUUUGCCAGGCAGCUGGGUUCCCUCAUCAUUUGCAGUUGGGUGACCAAAUCAUUUCUUUUCUAAACCUCAACACUUUUGAGAGUGGGAGGUAUACAAGUUGAAUGGGACAUGGAGAACCCAGGACCUUCCAGGGUGAAAUAGCCAUUUUUCAUGCAAAAGUUGAAGUCAGUUAAAACUUGAAGGAGUUUCUUUUUUACACCAACUGCUUUUAAACUAAGCUCUCAGGUUAGUUUAGCAACAUACUCAAUAGAGGCAAAAAUGGCCUAAUUUGAAGGUAGAUUUGGUUUUUGAAAACAGUCAAUCUUUAUCACAUAGAGGAAACAUGAGAGACCAACUGCUCUAGCUUCCUUUAUGGUGAAGAACAAGACCCAGAGAGGUAAAGGGUCAUGGUUUAAGGUAAUUCCAUUGAUUAGUGACAUCUUUAUUUAAGAGGGGAAAAAAGGUAUUGAAGAUAUAGAACCAAAAUUCAAACCAGCAGCUAUGUGUAUGAUGUGCCUGUCACAAUGCUAGGGUUUUUAAACAUAUUUUUAUUAAAUCAGUAUUAAUUGAGCACUUACUAUAUGCAAGCCACUGUGUAAUAUGCUUGGGAGGAAAUCCCUGUCCUCAAACAGUUCACCAAUGUCUUCACUCAUGUAACCUAUCAAUAAACCAGCAGGGUCAAUAUUCACAUUUCAUUUUGGGAUAUAUGUGAAUGGAUAGGAGGAAGGCACAUGCAUAAGAAGAAAUGGAGACUCAGAAAAAUGAACUUAUUUGCCGAAAGUCACAAAACAAGUAAGUGGGAGAGCAGAAUUCUGACUCCCUGCCUUACACUAGAAAUCACACCACAGUCUGCUCCGUGCUAGCAUCGAGUUUGGCCUUGGGAAACCUGGUGGAGCCUCAGGAUUGCACCUUGAUUGGUGCAUGGGGUCUGUGAGUCACAGCAGAGGGGGUGGUGACCUCUAUAAACUCUUGCUACCAAUGACUACACCCCUCACAGAGGGAUUGUCUACUAGUGAGAAAAACCAUAGUCUGCUUUAGAUUCCUGAUGUUAUUGUAAGUAGGGAAGACCAUUACACACUGUACAAAGACAUGUUUAACAUAACAACAGCCAGCAUUUGUAAAGGAUCUUUGCAGAUUUCUAAGUGUUUUCACAUGCCUCAUCGCGUUGAAUCUUUACUACCCUAACAGAUGUGCAGCCAUCAUUUUCCCCUACAGACCAGCCAGCGAGGCUGGAGGGUGAGGCAACCUGCCCAAAAUUCCAGAAGUCGUGGACAAGAGCCAGUAUACCAACCCAGGCCUUUUUCUCUAUUGUAAUUAAUUAACUAUCUCCAGCUAUUUCAUUAGCAACACAGUAUGGAAGGUCCUUAUAGAGGGACAGCAUGGAAUACCCUCAUGUUAUUGGUUGAUUGUGGUUUAUGGAAGUAAUGCUAUUCCUUCUUAAGAUGCCUUCAGGAUCGUUUCAACUGUAAGGGAAUAUUCAAUCCUCCCAUCCCAGGCUGAGUCGUCAUCAGAGCGAACAAGCAGCCUGGCUCAAGUUUCCUUCCUUGGUGUUUUCUUAUCUGUCUCCCACCAAUGGCUUAGCCUGUAUGGGUGAGUGGGGUCAGGAAGUGGCAUACAGUCUCUGUUUUUAUUCUCUGUUUGGAAAUUUUCUAAUUAUAGGUCACACCAAGAGUUUCCAUUCCUCCCCCAACAACCCUCCAUGACACUUCACCUUGUUUAUGUAACUUAAUAAGCAAAGACCCAAGGCUUUUUUUUUUUUUUAAGACUUAAACCAUGAAGCUUUUAAUGAGGAAUCAAACUCAUUCCCUUAUCUUUCUGGCUAGUAAAUAGCUGCCUGUUAUCUUCUUAGUGUGUAGCUGAACUUACCAUCUCCUUUCUGGUCAGGGGUUUUAUAGUCUGAUUACGCCUUAGGCUUCCUGUGCAAGCCAUCAGAAGAAGGACCAUUCACACACACACACUACAAAAAAAGGAGAUUUAAGGUAAAGUCCUUUAAAACCCCAGCCUUCAUAGAAUAAAGAGAUGAUAUAUCACAGAAUCAAGAAACAGGAGUCACAGAUUCAAGAUAGAUCUAUCAUGGCAUCUGACACAAUGAAGUUGCCUAUUUAGGGUGUAAAUGAGAGCGAGAUUUUAGUCAAUUGUCAUGCUUUGGAGACUGAAAGCUAAGGGCCAACACUUAAAUAAUUUUAUUCCAAUUCUACCAAGAUUUUUUCCCUAACUUAACUGACUAAAAAGAUUAUAAAAUUUAUGUCACCUUAGCCUAGGAUCCUCUGGAAAUACAUUCAGUAAUAGUAACUUUUAGACAAAAUUUGACCAGUAGCCAUAAACCAAAUCCACAGAACAAAAUGAAAAAUAUCCUACUUUUAAGAGGCAAAAAGACAUUCUUAAGCCAAAUGUUAUUAAAGCAAAAAACAACUAUGUAGGAAAUAUUCUGUGCUUUUCCCUACCAGCAGUGUUCAAGCAGAAAUCACUUCUGCAGAACUACUGAACAAUGAAGGCUGGAAAGGAAAUAUAAAAGAAGUGGUAUUUUGGUAAAAAGAUCCUGACCCUGAGGAUUCGUACUAGUAUUAAGUGUUAUAAAAUUAACCUUUCAACUGUCCUCUGGGGUCUGAAGAACGCAGCUAAAUGAAGGAAAACUAAUUCAUGAAACAGGCUGCCAAGGAGGAUCAAGGAAGGAGCUUGCUAUUCAGGAAGCUCAAGAAACAGCACCCAAGCAGGGAUGCAGGGCCCAGAAAGAAAAAAUUUAACUGAUUCCAGAAAAGUCAUUGAGCUUUGCUAAAGAAGGAGUCGUGGCAGCCUCACUACCAAACAUUUGUACCUACCUCCUCCUCCAUGUGGUGAGGAGGAUUUGAGGCCUGGCACGAAAGCAAGGCCAUCACCAUCACCAUUAUUGCUAUUAUCAGGGAAUCCCCAAGCAAUGUCCAUUCAAGAGAUGUUUGAAGCCUUACGCAGAUAUUUUCCAGCCUUUGAGUUUUUUGACCCCUUUUUUCUUUAACCUUUGUUCCAUUUUGAUACAUGGAAAGAUCCUACUCCACUGUCUCAGCUAGAUUUCAGUAGGUUUUUCUGUGUGGGAAUGUCUCUACAUAUCUCUGAGCAGUCUAUCUUCUGUGUAGGUGCACCAGCAGGAAGAAUUUGUUGAUCUUUACUAUUGUAAAAUAAAUAUAUAUUUUUAUUAUUCAGUAUAAUACAGAAUAUUUUAUGUAUAUAAUAUUAUGUUGCUUUAUAUUUCAUUGCUUAAUAUAUUAUUGUAUUGAGUACAUUAUUUCCCAAGCAUACACAACUUUCUCCUCUCCCCAAAAUCCUUUACCACGCCCUUUAUAAAAAUCACUACUUUAGGACUUAGUCUAGGAGAAUUAUCUCAUUUGUGAUGUACAUUGCAGGGUGAUUUUCUAAAGGAAGCAGGACUUUGUGAGCUUGCUGCAUUCCUGUGAAAAGAAGUAAAAUAGGAACAUAAGGCUAAUGUAGAGAAAAGUUGGAGGAAGGGCUAAUGAGAUUAAUUAGAUAGACAGAUAGAUAGAUUUAUUUUAAACAUAAAUAAACAUCACGCUCUUUAGUCCCUCAAUACAUAAAAGUGGUCACUUGAGCCACCAGAGCUACAAUGAAUGAAUCCAAUACACUUUAAUGUAAUCGCCAUGUCUACCUCACAGUGCUUUUAGACAAAUUAGCAAAGGGCACCCCUUCCUCAAGGCACUUUACUUUCAUCUUCUGGAAAUCAUUGAAAUAUACUGAUAUUUUUUAAGAACAAGAAACUCCCAUCUGCUUUAAAACUUGCAUGUAAAUUUGUACAAAUCUAUAAUACUUAUGAUGCGAAUCAUACUCUGUAGAAAGUCCUCUGUUCAGUCCACAGCUUGCUCAGGGACACCCAGCUCCCCUGGCAUCGCUUGUGUAAUGCCCUUCACCACAACCAUGAGGAGCUGUGUUUGUUUUACGCAAGGCUUCAUCUAACUCAGUUCCUGGUACACAGUAUGUUCUCCAGAUAGCAAUUGAAUGAUGGAAUGAAUGUGUGAAGAAAAAAAUGAAUGAAUGAAUGGCCCCUCUUUAACACAAAAAUCUAUUGCAAAAGUGAAAAAUCAGUACAACUAAUGUUUACUGAGCACCUACUAUGCAUCAGGCCCUGUGCUAAGCAUAUAUGUGCAUUCUCAUUAAAAUCCUGUGAGGUACAGAUUUUUACUCUUCACAGAAGUUAAGUAACUUGCUACAGUCAUUCAGCUGGUGACUCACAAACCACGGGACCAGAUAAUCACAUUCCUAACCACUACACUGGCAAGUCGGCCUGUAUCCUGUCGUGCUCCAAGGGGGAGCUACACCUUUUGGAAACACAGAGUUCCCUUGUGUGGCCAGGCCAAGGAAGAGAAGGCAUCCGAGAUCCCGUGGCCAUGAUGAUUUCCUUUUCUGUCUGUAAAAACAAAGUUACUCUCUUCAUGCAACUUAACCAGUAAUGAGGUCAGAUCACACAAUAUUCCUAGUCCUGGCCUGCAUACCCAGCACUCACCUUUGAAAUCAGUUAGCAGCGAGUCAUUAAGCUACAGAAUAAGAGCCCUCGCAUCACCUGUGGGUGCAACACCUGGGCUAAUAGCACCCUCUGAAAUGUCCUGGCCACUAGAUGGCACUGAAGCUCAAAUGUCACAGAACUAUACGAAACACGUCCCGCCAUGUUUUAGGUAAGACAAUAGCAACAAUAACCAGAACAGCAACAUUAUUAAAUACUUAUGAUAAGCUAGGUACUCUUCCAAGGUCUCUAUUUGCAUUAUCACAUUGAAUCCUCACAACUCUAUGGGGUGACUUCAUUAUUAUCGCCAUUUUGCAGACAAACAGAUUUAGAAAGUCAAGUAUCUUGGCCAAGGUCACACCGCUAGUAAGAGGCAGAGCAGAGAUUUUAGCUCAGGCAACCUGACUCCAAAGCUCAACAUUCCUAACACUCCACUGCCAUUUCCUGCUACACUAUCAUUGUCCUUUCACUUAGCUGCUGAGCACAUGUUCAGUAUCCACCACAGAUUAUUUUUGAAACUCCUUUUGGAAAAUCCUCUCUCAUGAGGGAAAAAGAAAACCUGCAUUCAGGCCACAUAAGCACAUCAGGCACAAGCCAAGAUUCAGAUGUACUGGAGCUAUUUGCUCAAGGGCGCAACCUCAAAAGAAUAUCAUCCUGGUGGUGAAGAAAUGGGUCACAGCCUGUGGUGCAGCAAAGCAAAGUCAGCUGGAUCCAGCUGCAAGGUCUCACAUGUUAGAAAGAGCCCCUAGGAAGACGGCCAAGGGCAAGCCCUGGCUCCUCCUUACUCAUCAUGAUAUCUAGAGCAUGACACUUAAGCAUCUGGAGCCUCUGGUAUUGUAUCUGUUAAAAGGGGGGAAAAUGCAUGCCUUGUCUUCUCUACUGGGUAAAAGUAAAAUGUAUAAAGUGUUCACUGUGGUCAUUUCAGAGUUAAGUAUAAUAUCAUUAAAAGCCUUCAUUACCCCUUUUCACCUAGGCAACAUCCUUUGCCUUCUUGCCCCAUAAUUCCUUUUAUAACCCAAGUCUGUUUCCAGAGAACUGUUCUCAAAGCAUAGAUCUUACCAGAUCUGCUCCCCCCAGCCCUGCCAAUGACUCUAUCUUCAAUUCCAAACAUAGCAGCUAAGGUCUUCCAUCACCCACUUGCAACCUGCCUCUUCUUCCUCAUCUCUCCCAACUUCGCCUUUCCUUCACCUUAUGCACAACUGGACCAGAUGCUUUGCUGUUCCCAAACAUUCUUAUUUCUCUGCCUCUGCAUCUCUGCUCAGAUAUUCCUUCCACCUGUCCAUGGUUUGUGCUGCCCAACGUCAGAGCUAUUGGGCUUUUAAUUAGAGCUUAUGCUCUUCCUUUAAGGAAUGACUCCCCUGGCAUUGCAUUGGCCAAGAGAUGGGUAUAUGACCCAGGUAAGACCUCUCAGUCCCUCUUCCCUUGAAAUUUGUACCUUAAGAGAAGUGACCCAACCCAAAAGCACUGGAGUUGACUCAUCCUUAUAGACCAUACUCUGAAAAAAACAUUGCCAUCAAUCCCUAGUACAUCAAUCUAUAACAUGUUUCCUUAAAGGUACAGCUUUUUACUUCAAUUCAGGAGCUAUCUCCACAAUCCCCAACAGAUUCCCCCUGGUGGUGGUGGUGUUUUUUUAAUUUUUUUUUCUCUUCAAUUAGCCAGAGUUCAUAUCUGCUUCUUGCAGCCACUAAAUAAUCCUUCAAGGUUCAGUUCAAAUGGCAAUUCUUCAUAAAGCCUCAUUUAGGCACAUUUUAUAGCAGUUAUUUGUAUACACUUCUGUUUUCCCUCUGCAUUAUUAGCUCCUUAAAGACAGGGAUCAGGACUUGUUCAUCUUCGUACCCCAACUGCCCCCAGUGGACCAGAAACGUGGUCAUUUUUUGGUAAAUAUUUAUUGACUUGAAUGGCAAACCAGUUAAGAAGGAGAAUUUAAAGUACUUUGUAGGAUUCAGUGGUAUUUUAAUCCUGUGUUUUGUAGUGUUCAUGCAUGCUGUUAUCUAAUAAAAUUUGUUUUUCUAGAGAAAUCAUCUAUCCAAAUUCUACAACCAUUAUCACAUUUUCAAGACAGCCUGAGGCUUACAGUGAAUUUGAGAGUUCUCCUCAGAUCCAGAGUCUUCUAACUUUUGCCCUGCUUCCCCUCUCUGCUGAAAUGUCAGGGCUCUGGCAGCUGCCAUUAUCAGAUCCCAAACAAGCGUGUGAAUAACAAUGGGAAGUGUGACAAUUCCCUAGGUUGUUUUUUUUUCUUUAAGCCUUCACAGGAAGAGCUUGACUAUGGCGAAUUCUAUGUUUAGACUGUAGUCUUUUGUAUUUAGUUUAGCAAACUGCAUUUCAAGGCCCCUAGGAUGCAAGUUAUACUCAUUAUAAUGCACGAAUAAUUUCCCCUUCAACAUGAUUUUCACAUCAGAAUGAUAAAGGACAACCAAAUGAUGAGAAUGAACUGUUGCAGUAUGAAACUGACCCACAGCUUACGUAAAACUGUAAGUGAGCACAAUUGAAUGUUUAUUGAAGCAUAUUUAUAAAUACUAUCAAACCAAACAUGAUUCCUGUUAUCUCUAAUGAAAAAAUUAUACUUUUCCUUUUUCCUGACAAGGAAUGAGGGGAAGGGAUAGGGAGAAGGGAAGCUGACAGCAAGGUUUCUUACCCCACUGCUCCCUCUCCAUCUAAUUAAGAAGUCUGCUGAUUGGGGCAGUCCCCACGGCAGCAGCCACCUAGCAGAAGUGCAGGGAAAGCCUUAGAUCUGCUUACUUUCCACUAUAUUAGGCACCCCUGCUUUACAUUCUAUGAGUUGUCCACUCCCAAUAAUUACUUCUUUCUGAACACCCAUCUUGACAAGAAUGAAAAGCCAUCACAAAAGGCUAUUUUCCAAAAGAAAAAGUUCAAGUAUCUUCUCUUUUCACAUCCAUACUUCCAAACAUUGUCCUUUAACACAGCAAAUGAUAAGGUUAAACUUGGCCUAUGCUCCAAGUAUAAAAGCCAAGGACAUUACCUACGCAUAAAAAUAAAAUGAACUAUCUGGGAAAAUGAAGUAGACGUACUUUUCCCUAUUCCUCCCACUAGCUACAACUAAAAACCCCAGACAUUAUGCAUAAAGCAAAUAUAAAAAGACUGAAAGGUGGGGAGAAGAAGGCAGACUGGCUGGGGAUCUUAGGACCCAAGGAAAGACAUGGUGGUAAGUUGCCUUAUGGAUCCCAGACAAGAAGCUAAAGAGUUCAGCAAUCCAGAAAUGCAAAUGAGUUCUGACUUUUAAAUGCCUCAACAAAAGCCUGUUCUCACUAACCAAAAGACCAGGAAAGGGACAACCUAGCAAAACAGAAAACCUUUAGACAAUAACCAUUCUACUUCAACCAAACACCACAAACAAAACCUUACUCCCACACAUACCAGCAAAGGCUGAGAGGGGAGCCUAGACUUCACCCUCAAGAGGCUAUAACACAGUGGCUGCUAUGGUUUGAAUAUUUGUGUCCCCUCCAAAAUUCAUAUUGAAACAAUCCCCAUGGCAAAGUAUUAAGAGAUGGGACUUUUGAAAGGUAAUUAAGCCCUAAGGGCUCUACUUUUUUUAUCCCUUAUAAAAGGGCCAGAGAGGUAGGUAGGCCCUUUUUGCUCUUCCAUCUUUCUGCCAUGUGAGGACACAGCAUUUGUCCCUUCCAUAGAUGCAGCAAUAAGAUGCCAUCUUGGAAGCACAGACGGACCUCUCUCUCGUGAGACAUCAAACCUGCCAGCGCCUUGAUCUUGGACUUUCAGCCUCCAGAACUGUGAAAAAUAAAUUUCUGUUC